UCCAGACUCCUACGGGAGGCAGCAGUGGGGAAUAUUGCACAAUGGGGGGAACCCUGAUGCAGCGACGCCGCGUGGGUGAAGGAGCACCUCGGUGCGUAAAGCCCUCUCGGCAGGGAAGAAACAGACGGUACCUGACUAAGAAGCCCCGGCUAACUACGUGCCAGCAGCCGCGGUAAUACGUAGGGGGCAAGCGUUAUCCGGAUUUACUGGGUGUAAAGGGAGCGUAGACGGCGAAGAAAGUCUGAAGUGAAAGCCCGCGGCUCAACCGCGGAAUGGCUUUGGAAACUUUUUUGCUGGAGUACCGGAGAGGUAAGCGGAAUUCCUAGUGUAGCGGUGAAAUGCGUAGAUAUUAGGAGGAACACCAGUGGCGAAGGCGGCCUGCUGGACGAUGACUGACGUUGAGGCUCGAAAGCGUGGGGAGCAAACAGGAUUAGAUACCCUUGUA
RNAcentral lists this ribosomal RNA (445 nucleotides) under uncultured bacterium. Its description in RNAcentral is "bacterial SSU rRNA". It matches the Rfam family "Bacterial small subunit ribosomal RNA", at positions 330 to 792 of the family's 1533-position model. The record is from RNAcentral.